AGCGGGUUUUCCCACCCUGUUUGACAUUAGAAUUUCAAUCGGUGAGUCGGCUUUGGCCAAUCCGACAUUGGCCAAACGAUUCGUCGAGGUAGCUCAUCUCUCGACAAACAGGGAGAGUAGAAAAGAUCAGACAGUGUCCAAAAUAUUUUCUUCUUUCUACUCGACGAUGCUUGGCAUAAGUUAUCGAUACUUUUUCUUUUUUGAUCUGACUUGACUUGUCCUU
RNAcentral lists this long non-coding RNA (223 nucleotides) under Elaeis guineensis (African oil palm). RNAcentral's name for it is "long non-coding RNA (EGUI_LNC038640)". The record is from RNAcentral. Lineage: Eukaryota; Viridiplantae; Streptophyta; Magnoliopsida; Arecales; Arecaceae.